This 224-nucleotide long non-coding RNA is filed under the name Mytilus galloprovincialis (Mediterranean mussel). The record is from RNAcentral. Lineage: Eukaryota; Metazoa; Mollusca; Bivalvia; Mytilida; Mytilidae.
UACAAAAAAACAAGAUGUGUAUGAUUGCCAAUGAGACAACUCUCCACAAGAGACCAAAAUGACACAGACAUUAACAACUAUGGUCAUACAACUUUACCCAGAACUUCAGGGCCUACUUCGAUUCGUCCAACUCAGGUAACCCGAGUUACCCGAUUUGCAAUCGAAGUACCCGAGUUUUAUCAUUUCCCAACCCUCGAGUUAACUCGAUAUCAACCCUGCCCCUG